CGGCACGGGUGAGUAACACGUAUCCAACCUGCCGUCUACUCUUGGACAGCCUUCUGAAAGGAAGAUUAAUACAAGAUGGCAUCAUGAGUCCGCAUGUUCACAUGAUUAAAGGUAUUCCGGUAGACGAUGGGGAUGCGUUUCAUUAGAUAGUAGGCGGGGUAACGGCCCACCUAGUCUUCGAUGGAUAGGGGUUCUGAGAGGAAGGUCCCCCACAUUGGAACUGAGACACGGUCCAA
This 236-nucleotide ribosomal RNA is filed under the name uncultured bacterium. Its description in RNAcentral is "partial 16S ribosomal RNA". It matches the Rfam family "Bacterial small subunit ribosomal RNA", at positions 100 to 334 of the family's 1533-position model. The record is from RNAcentral.